RNAcentral lists this ribosomal RNA (253 nucleotides) under uncultured bacterium. Its description in RNAcentral is "partial 16S ribosomal RNA". It matches the Rfam family "Bacterial small subunit ribosomal RNA", at positions 524 to 776 of the family's 1533-position model. The record is from RNAcentral.
UACGAAGGGUGCAAGCGUUAUCCGGAUUCACUGGGUUUAAAGGGUGCGUAGGCGGGUUGGUAAGUCCGUGGUGAAAUCCCCAAGCUUAACUUGGGAACUGCCGUGGAUACUAUCAAUCUUGAAUAUCGUGGAGGUAAGCGGAAUAUGUCAUGUAGCGGUGAAAUGCUUAGAUAUGACAUAGAACACCAAUUGCGUAGGCAGCUUACUACACGAUCAUUGACGCUGAGGCACGAAAGCGUGGGGAUCAAACAGG